This 245-nucleotide ribosomal RNA is filed under the name uncultured Desulfatiglans sp. RNAcentral's name for it is "partial 16S ribosomal RNA". It matches the Rfam family "Bacterial small subunit ribosomal RNA", at positions 524 to 768 of the family's 1533-position model. The record is from RNAcentral. Lineage: Bacteria; Pseudomonadati; Thermodesulfobacteriota; Desulfobacteria; Desulfatiglandales; Desulfatiglandaceae.
UACGGAGGGUGCAAGCGUUGUUCGGAAUUACUGGGCGUAAAGAGCGUGUAGGCGGUUUGGCAAGUCGGAUGUGAAAUCCCUGGGCUUAACCCAGGAAGUGCAUUUGAUACUGCCGUUCUUGAGUAUGGGAGAGGAGAGUGGAAUUCCCAGUGUAGAGGUGAAAUUCGUAGAUAUUGGGAGGAACACCCGUGGCGAAGGCGACUCUCUGGACCAAUACUGACGCUGAGACGCGAAAGCGUGGGGAG